UCACUUUAUAUCACAACUGGGCCAUUGUCCCAGUGGGUGAGGGGGUUAAUCCCCCUAUGACCCCAAGGUCAGGGGUUCGGCCCCCAGUGUGUGCACCCUGACUAUUUACUUUCCAUACUUGUUCCAUUUUAUUUAUUUAUUUUCCCAUUUUAUUUUCCUUUUGAUUUAUUUUUUAACCCUCUUAUUUUUAUUAUUUUGAAAACAUGUUGAACACACACCCCCCUUAUUUUUGCCUCUAGAAUUUAAU
RNAcentral lists this long non-coding RNA (247 nucleotides) under Lathyrus oleraceus (garden pea). Its description in RNAcentral is "Pisum sativum (pea) long non-coding RNA (PSAT_LNC000384)". The record is from RNAcentral. Lineage: Eukaryota; Viridiplantae; Streptophyta; Magnoliopsida; Fabales; Fabaceae.